RNAcentral lists this unclassified non-coding RNA (335 nucleotides) under soil metagenome. Its description in RNAcentral is "partial contains 5.8S ribosomal RNA, internal transcribed spacer 2, and large subunit ribosomal RNA". The stretch from base 1 to 120 matches the Rfam family "5.8S ribosomal RNA", at positions 35 to 154 of the family's 154-position model. The record is from RNAcentral.
GAUGAAGAACGCAGCGAAAUGCGAUAAGUAAUGUGAAUUGCAGAAUUCCGUGAAUCAUCGAAUCUUUGAACGCACAUUGCGCCCCCUGGUAUUCCGGGGGGCAUGCCUGUCCGAGCGUCAUUGCAACCUUCAAGCGCGGCUUGUGUGUUGGGUCUCGUCCCCCGUGGACGGGCCCGAAAGGCAGUGGCGGCGUCCCGACAUGGUGCCCGAGCGUAUGGGAAUCCUCUUCCGCUCGAAUCGGCCCAUGCGGCGCUGGUCGUAACCAAAUUUUUUACCGGUUGACCUCGGAUCAGGUAGGGAUACCCGCUGAACUUAAGCAUAUCAAUAAGCGGGGA